Molecule: long non-coding RNA, 206 nt
Filed under: Hordeum vulgare
Lineage: Eukaryota; Viridiplantae; Streptophyta; Magnoliopsida; Poales; Poaceae
Description: long non-coding RNA (HVUL_LNC005522)
Source: RNAcentral
CUAGCCGCCACUGCUUCUUCUGUCCUCCGGCACCCCAACUCCAUGUUCUUCCCCACCUCACGACUCCGGCCAUGUUGGCGAAUCCACCCCAUCACAGGACCUCAAUCCCACAGCCCCUCGCCUCAGAUCUCUACUUCCUCACGUGCAAGCUUCCUUCCCUCGCCUUAGAUCUUGACUUCCUCACCUGAAGGCUUGCUCCACUCGCC